CAACGACUCUCGGCAACGGAUAUCUCGGCUCUCGCAUCGAUGAAGAACGUAGCAAAAUGCGAUACCUGGUGUGAAUUGCAGAAUCCCGCGAACCAUCGAGUUUUUGAACGCAAGUUGCGCCCGAGGCCUUCUGGCUGAGGGCACGCCUGCCUGGGCGUCACGC
Molecule: ribosomal RNA, 163 nt
Filed under: Ichnanthus sp. Silva et al. 550
Lineage: Eukaryota; Viridiplantae; Streptophyta; Magnoliopsida; Poales; Poaceae
Description: 5.8S ribosomal RNA
Rfam family: 5.8S ribosomal RNA
About the family: 5.8S ribosomal RNA (5.8S rRNA) is a component of the large subunit of the eukaryotic ribosome. It is transcribed by RNA polymerase I as part of the 45S precursor that also contains 18S and 28S rRNA. Functionally, it is thought that 5.8S rRNA may be involved in ribosome translocation.
Source: RNAcentral